Molecule: long non-coding RNA, 2948 nt
Organism: Gasterosteus aculeatus aculeatus (three-spined stickleback)
Lineage: Eukaryota; Metazoa; Chordata; Actinopteri; Perciformes; Gasterosteidae
Source: Ensembl
GCGACUGUCAGCUCGGUGGAGGAUCAAUCCCUUCGCUGCUGCCGGUGCUUAAGAUGUUUCCCAUUGCCCGCUCCGUACCACAUUCUACCUCUAUUUUAACUCUCCUUCCUUUUUUUUUGAUGUGCUCCAGUCACUCUGGCAGAGACGCUGUGGUGCUUUUGACCUUCAGACUCAGGGCAUCGGUAAGGCGAGUCCACCAAAAUCUGCUGCUGAAUUACCUCCGCGUGCCAACUCCUGAGGCACAAGAUAAAAGACACAUCAGAGAUGCACUUGGCCCUAAAGAGGGUGACCGGCCGGCCAUGACAUCCUGGCCGUAACUCGGCCGGUACCACAGCGGCCCGUCUGCUCACUGUCUCUUUUGAGGGCCACGGUCGAAGUCGCUGCCCGGUCUCACCUUACAAAGGCCACGAAUAUAAAGCCGGCACAGCUACAAAAGGCCCCGUGAAUUCAGAAGCUAGUAUGACAUUUAAUUAGUUCCAUGAAAAUCACAACACAAGGAGCUUGGUUGUGAAGUAUCUGCGGUGCUGUGUGUGAGCGCUGUGCUAAGAAGAUCAAGAAGAGCGGGAUUUUCACACCGGUUGCCAAUGUCUCAUUCUUCUGUCAACACCCACGAUGAAAUGUGACUGUAAUAAACAACAGAACUGGGCCAGAACCGCGGCUCCUUUCUUGCUUUUGCGCUGAGCAGUGGCUCCCUCUAGUGGCAGAUUACUGAACCGCCAGUCCAGGUGGUUAAAGCACAUUAUACCUCAUUUACAAGCAGAACAGAAAACAUCAUGUCUUUGUAAACUAAAAAACAAAAAUAUGGCAGGAAUUCGGAAUUCAAUGACUUGCCAUAAGAAAAGCUACUAAAUGAGUUAAAAAAAUAUGUGGCUGAAAAUCGCUUUAAACAUUUAACAUUGGUGAUAUUAAACCAAACUAACAAUCAAAUAACCCCAAAUAAUUUCAUCUGAAUCUGCAAAGCUGAACUGUUUUAGUGAUUUAUUGAGGAUGUUGAGGUGUAAAACAACAAAGUCCAGCCAUGAAGCAGUUACGGUGUCUUUAAAUACAACUGAAAAUAGUUUCUUGUGCUUCAAUUGUUACACACAAAAAAUGAUGGUGAAUUUAUACCACUGACAUACAAGGAAAACGGUGGGGGUUUAAAAUACUUUGCCAGUGGAGAAGCAUGGUGGAAUAUUUAACAACGUAAUGCGAAACACUUCACUGAAACACAUGAAAAGUAAAAAGCAGCACACCUCUGAAGCUCAGAACCUCAGUUCAACUGCCGUCUGUAAUGGCACACAAAGAAAACCCAACAAAUCUAUUCUUGCCGUUACAGUUGAAGGCACAUACAUGAUGAAACAACACAAACAAAACCAUGAAAAGGGACGGUGAUGCAUUACAUUACAUCAAGCAUUAUAGUCCCUCACGUGUUUUUAGGUUUCUCUUCAUCAACAGAACACUGAAGUCGAGGAUGCGCAGUUCAUUCACUCACGUCCACAGGGAGUGGUUCAUUUAUUAAAGUAUUUAUCUCAUAUUUUCAACUCAAAGAUUAACUGUAUGUAGGAGGAUAUCGUAGUUGAAACUAAAAGUUCACUUAAUCUGAGAUCAAUUAUCACAGUCAAAAACAGAAAUGCGUUCAACACAGAAUCAUGCAGACUUUUCUCCUUCACAAUAUAUUCACAAAAUCAAACAUCUGAACUGUUCCUUGAGCCAUUUGGUGCGUGGGCGACAGGUGUGACUCAACCGCUGGCCGUUCUGGAUGUUGCCGGCCUUCUUUUUUUUAUCUCGCAGAAGCUGAAACGCACACAGCGACACAAGAAUAAAACCACAUCCGUGUGACCAAAAAAUGACACUUUAAACCUCCAAAAAAGGAUAACAAACGGAGCCCUGAAUUGUGUUUGGGAAAGAUCAUUUGAGCCCUCUUGUCAAGUCGGCAGUGCUACACUGAUUAUAUGACAGGACGUGAGGUCAGCAGGGUUAGGGAGUGUUACAUUCUUUCCCGAAGGCACUGCCCAUACAUUCUUUAAAUGAUCACGUCCCAUUACUCAGGCCUGUCAUGGAGGGGGGCAUUUCUGUGUGUGGUACCUGCUGGAAUAAGUUAUUUAAAGUAGAGACUCUCAAUGUAAGGGGGGGCUCACAAAAUCCUUUUUUAUAAAUUGUAAAAUGAUUGAUCUCAUUGGAGGCAGUUAGACAAGGAUACAUAUAGAUUUAUUAGGACUACAGCGGUCUUGAAACAAUUUAUUUUGGAAAGCAUUUCAAACCAUAACUUGAAAAUGUGCCUUUUUAAAAAGUGUUACGGUGGAAGAAGACAAAGCGAUUCAAUUUAAGCAUCGAAGACAGCGUCCUCAUGGUAGCGAGCCUUUUGUUUUAUUGUUGCUGUGAUGUGGAGGGGAUCCUCAGAGAAUGAUUCUCCCAUACGUACAUACUUGCCUUAAAACAUACUGUCUGAUAUUAUACUCCAUCUCUGAUCCCUUAAAUCCAAGACACUUGACUCUCUAAAAAACAGAUUUGUUAACGAACCUGGGGGCGGGGGGGGCGUCGGAUUACAAGGUCUCAUGUGUGCGUUUUGCAGUCAGAUAAGAACUUAAGCUGCACUCCAAAGACGUAGCAACAUAAACACGCUCUUCCUUAGCAGAAUUCCUAAAGCAUUACUCCGUUUCCCGCUGCAGCUCGCAGACCAAGUACCGGGGGGGCGGAUUAGUCGGUGGAAGGAAGGUGGGUCGUUCUCUUGAUUUUUGUUCAUGGGUCGGUUGAAGGGAUACUGAGGCUGUGUGGGAGUUUCACAUGGGACCCUGUGGAUGUGCUCACCCCUCCCCAACCAACAAACACGCACACGUCCUGUCAGCCGCGGGCCGCACUGACAUUUACUGUGCGCACAAUAGCUCCUGUCCAAAAUAAUCAGUGUUUAUGUUAGGAAGUCCCUAUCUCUCUAGCCCUGCUGCUUGUUCGGGGGUGGGUGGGGGUCGUGG